Non-coding RNA from Taeniopygia guttata (zebra finch), 7398 nucleotides. The record is from RefSeq and is a predicted model, not a curated record. NCBI's taxonomy places the organism in Eukaryota, Metazoa, Chordata, Aves, Passeriformes, Estrildidae.
AGGUUACAGGCAGCUAGUUGGGCUAAAGGCCUGGUUUUAAAGAGUUGGAGAUCAUAAAGGUGAAUUUUCAAUCAGGUGUGAGAGAAGUUUUGUUGUUCAGAAAUUACCCUGGCCUGUCAAACACACAAAAAGAACAACAGGCUCUGUGGGCUGCACACAGGCUUUUAGGCACCUUGAGACAGCUACCUGGCCUUUGGUGAUACUGCAGGGCUUGCUCUUGUAGUCUGAGCCAACUCAUGGUAUGCUGCAUAAAAAUGCAUCCUGUAUUAGCCAUGUAAACAACCAAGUUUUAGAAGUAUGCAGCAUGAAAGUGCCCUUCCUACAGAAUAACUCCUAUAAAGAACAACCUUUGGGGUCUGCAGAUUUCUCCUGGGUGAACAUCCUAUUUUCCUCUUUAACAGCUUGUACUUCUGUUUCAUCCAUAGUAUGUUGAUGACUUUCAUUUAAAGCUAGUUCAUGAACUUUAGGCAUCACAAAUAUCCCUCACUUCAGCUGCAAUCAUGAGAUAAGGACAAAAAAAAGCAUUUCAAAAAUCGGCUUCACUUGUACACACUGACAACAACCUAUCUGUGCAAGAAUAAAUUCCUUGAUCCAAGGACGUGCAUUAAAAGUCAGUUCUCAAAGGGGACAUAGGAGUGGAUUUAGCAUGGAAGGAUAUAUGUUCUUUAAGGGCAAUAGGUCAAACCUGAAGAUUAAAAAUAGACUUGUCAAAAUUGAGUCUGACAGAAAUCACUGUAUCUCUAUGUUCCAAUGGACAUAAUAUUCUUCAUUAUGUAGUCACAAAGUAUUUUUUUUAGUCUAAUUAGACUGCAAAUGUGAUUUUAAAAAAUAAAAUGGAAUUAUUAUUUCAAAAUUACAUUUACUGCUAAUGCCAGAGUGCCAAAUCAUGAGUAUUGUCUGGCAGAUUCUUUACAUCUACAAGUCAGUAGUUUUUUGCAUAUAUGUAAGCGAGGAGAAUAGUUAUGAGUUCUCAGGCAUAAUUUUAGCCUUUAAGUCAGCAAAAAGAGGAUGAGAGCAAGAGCAAGAUCUAAACAGGGAGGUUACAGGACACUGAUGAUGCAUUUUUAUCACCUGCAACCCUAACUAGACACCAAAUAGCCCACAUGCAUGUUACUAAUUCCUUGUCACACAUGGCAAGAGAAUAAUAAAAAUAAUGAAAAAAUGGUUCAAAUUUACUAAUCUGUUAUUCUACAAAAAAUAACCCAACUACUAGAAAUCUUUUAAACCUUGCAAAUCCUUUCUUAAUUUUUUCUUUUGUUGUCUUUUUUUAUUUUCAAUAUAUUUUCAUUCCCUAAUUCUGUCCUAUCCUAACUAAAAGAUAAUCUCAGGGCAAAAGCUCUUUAUCUAAAGGAUCAACAGCCACAAAAGCAUAUAAGGAAGAGGCAGGGGAGAGAAGCAUGUUUAUAGAAUCACACUCUUAAAGCUAUUCAUUAAAACAAAAAGUAGAGGAGGCAGAUCAGAGAGGUUUGAGAGGGUUUAUUUUGUUUAUUUUCCUCCCUCUGCUCUCUACCCAGCUGCAGCUUCCAAAGAAUUGUUCAAAGGUUAUACCUUCCCCAUGGCUCUUCUAAAGAUCUGAACUCCAAAAGGAAAGUUUCAGGAAGGUCACCUGUGAAGGAGAUCUGCUCUUCAAAAUCUGUAAAUUCACCAUUUGGAGGACAUACUACUCACAUUUUUAGAGGCUGAGGAAUGAACAGAUCAAGGGCAGCCCUUCUGAGAAGGACCUGGGGGCUACAGAUGAGAGGCUGGAUUUAACCUGGACUUGUAGCCCAGAAAGCCAAACAUGGCCUGGGCUGCGUCAAAAGCAGCGUGGCCAGCAGGGUGAGGGAUGAGAUUCUGCUCCUCUGUUCUCAUGAACAGCUGCAUCCAGCUCUGGGAACCCAAGCACUAUAAGGACAUGGACCUGUUAGAGCAAGUCCAGAGGAGGCCACCAAGAUGAUCAGAGAUGGAGCACCUCUCCUGUGGCGAAAGGCUUAAAGAAUUGGAAUUGUUCAGCCUGGAGAGAAGGCUUUGGGAUGACCUGAUUGUGGCCUUCAAGACUUGUGGGAAGCCUACAAGAAAGAUGGAGAGAGGCAUGUAGUGACAGGACAAGGGGCAAUGGCUGAGAGUAGCUUUAGGCCAGAUAUUAGGAAGAAAUUCUUUACUCUGAGGGUGCUGAGGCACUGGAAUAGAUUGUGCAGGAAAGCUGUAGAUCUCCCAUCCCUGGAAGUGUUCAAGGCCAGGUUGGAUGGAGCUCUGAGCAACCUCUGUCUAGUGGAAAGAUGUACCUGUCCAUGGCAGGGAGUUGGAACUGGAUUAUCUUUGAGGUCCCUUCCAAGCCAGGCCAUUCUACAAUUCUAUGAUUUAUUUACAACUGCCAUUUGUUGUCAUUUCUACUGUCAUAAAACCUUAUUCUCUAAAAACUCCUCCAAUGUCUCUCCCUCUAUGCUUUUGUUUGGCAACAUAUAGCAUUACCUUAAGAAUGGGUCUGGUCUACUUGAAAUAUCAAAUUUUCAUGUUGUGUUUUCUGAAAAAAAAAUGAACGGUGCCUUACUAAGCACAGAGUUCAGAGAAGGGAGGGUGAUGGGAAAGGGACCUGCAGAGGCUGGCAUCACUGGGAAUGGCAUAUCCCUUGAACUACCCUAGAUCAAAUAGGGAAACAUUUUAUUAAAUCCUGUUAUUCUACCAUUUGUCAGCUGUAUCAUAAAAUUAGGAGGCUACAAAUAGAAUCACUACAAGCAAUUCAUGGGAUAAUAAUUAAACAGUCUGAUUCAAACCCCACUGAAAUCCACCAAAAGACUUCCAUCAUCUUCAGAAGGCUUUGGAUCAGCCAUGUUCCUGGAGGAUGAACAUUGCUCCAUUGUUCCAUCCCAGGAAAAUUACACACAAAAGCACAACAGGCAGCAAAGCAAGGCCUUUUCUGCCACUUUUUAAACACCUUUGUCAAAUUUUCCAUUAACAAAGCCUUAAGGAAGUAGGGACUUCUUGUCAGAAAGCAAACUAUAAGCAUUUCUAGAAGUAGGCAGUAUGUAUUUUAGCAUAUAUAUUUAUGGACACAUCAAUAUACAAAAUAUUCAUCAUGUUUAGAGCUGUCCUUAAACAAAAAGCCCAGGCAUUACUCUCUAUGCCUGCAAAAACAAAUCCACCAUGCAUCUUUAGUAAACAAAAAAUAGUUAAUUUACAAAGCUGUAGCAUUGCUUUAUUUGCACUUGACUGUUUAACACCCAGGAGUUUCAAUAGAUCUGGCACUGGCUGGAUAGAUUGAAACAACACUAUUACUUUCUCUGUAUUAUUCUUAAUAAUUAUAAAAUGAUGUGUUUUAUUGCUCCAUUUACAAGAGUAUUGCUAAACAAUUAUCUUAACAAAUGUAUUUUUGAUGGAAGAGCCACUGAUGUUUGUCUUUAUAAAUUAAGCUAGUUAUAAAAGUCCAUGUUUAUAAUAGUAUUACCUUCUUUGAAAUAACAAAAUAGUCCAUUGGUGGUUCACUAUGAGCACCUACUGGGAAAUUCAUGGUAACCUGCCUCAUGUGUUAGAAAUCUAAAUGAACAGCCUUGAUAAGAGCAUUUUUUUCUCCUCAUUGUUAAUGACAUACAUAACAAAAGUACUAUAAUUAUUCUAAAGCAGCAGCUAAAAAAAAAUUCUCAUAGAGAUGUUGGUAAUCCAUCAUGAGGAGAGUACUGUGAAGACAGACAAUUAAAAAUCCAAAUAUUCUUUUCUUGAAACAAUUUAACUGUUCAAAAGCAUCUAUAAAAUACUUACACAAGCAAAUAUUAGAAUAUUUUGCUCAAGUUUAGUAUUUAGUCAAUAGACUAAUUUCUGUGGAAUAUAUUGAAGAGUAGAAUAUGAAAAUAUUUAUAAAAUAUACAGUACAUAGCUAUGCAAAGAAGUUACUGCACACUGCCCUUUGAUAAAACAUCAUCUUUCUAAUGAAGCAAUUAGUAAAAAAAACUGUUGCUUAAAUAAAAAAUAAGUUUUACAUCAGUAAAUCCUAUCAGAUUAAGGCAAUCAUGCCAUAUUUUUGACUACAGUACAACCAAAUGAAAUUAUUACUUCUUCCUACUGUUUCUGACAUUCAGAGCUAUACUUGUCAAAACAGAAUUUCAGUUCAGAAAAAAAGAAAUAGUACUGAAAUACACUGUAAAUUGUGUAUGUUCAGCAUUGGGUAACAGAAAAGUAACUCCGUGUCAUUCUGUAUUUGACUUCCACUGAAAAAAACAGGUCAUGAGCUCCAGUGAAAUAAUAUACACCUCAAAAAAAACCAAGAACCAAACAAAAACACCAAUCAAAUAAAAGAAAGAAAGUGAAAAAUAAUUUUGAAAAAAAAUCAUGUCCUGUGUAGCACCAGUAUCUGGUGAGGCUGCAAGACAGGAGACAUCCUGAGACUUAUGGGCAAGCCUUUGAAAAACUCUGUGCAGCACUAAGUGCAGGUAGACAGAACACAAGCAUGGGUGACAGUGAACAAGAGCAUAAGAACAGAAAUUUACUACUGUGAGAGAGAGCUACUCAUUUUUCCUCCUUCCUGGAAAACUCACAUCUUCCCAAAAAGGACUGAUAGUCCCAAAGGAGUAAGUGCAGUUUACUCAACUCCUCAAAGCCCAGAUUCAGGUAUCAGACAGAGCAGUCUUACUACUCACAGAUCCAGGACCAACACACAACUUAUAUCUGACUUGGUCCAAGCACAAACUUCCUGGCUAAGUGUUGCUGGUAGAUGUUUUGUAAAGGCCUUAUGCUAGAGUUAUAGCACAUCUUUCCAAACAGAUAAAAGUUUAUAAUUUAAAGAUUUGAAAUUAUGAGGAAUGACCACAGUUCUCUCUAUCUCUUACUGCUCAUAAUGUGAUUUCUUAGGACUAGACUGGACUUCUUUUAGCAAGCUGAAAAGAUAUCUGCUAUUUCAAUUUGUCCUUGGUCAGGUAAAUCUGUCUUGAUCUGUCCUGCAGCAAGCUAACAAGGCUGAGUUUCUUAUGAAUCUCAUAAAAGGGGAAACUUGUGGUUAAUUUUUGCUGCUCUUCCCAAACUACAUCCAAUUACCAGCACACUUUCAGGAACAGACAGCACUGCAGACCUUCUAUGAUUAUAUAUAAAAUUUAUAUUGCCUCCCUACUCCCACUUGAUAUUCUUAUUCUUUUUAUAUCCAUUUCAUAUUCAUUCUAUUAGCUACAGUGUACUGCUCUGAAAGGUCAGAUUCAAUGAAUUAUUUAAUGCCAUGGCAAGCUGAGGCAUGAACUGCUGUAUCUUAACAGUCUCUGAUAGUUUCACCCUAGGCUGAGCUUCCUUAUGUUAGCCAAGGGGAUCUAGAGAGGAAUGGUCUCGAUACCAGCUUUAAUCUACUUGCUCUGAGCAACAGGCACUCUGCACUUCACCUUGGCCAGCCUUCUUCUGAAACAGUUUUUACUACCAGAGGCCAUAUUCAACACACUACACUGGGAAACAGCACCUCCCUUGUAAUGCCAGCACACAACUUUCAGAGCUCCUUUCCCUAAAUUUCUGAACUUCUGGAAUUUCACCAGCUAUUGCCACAUGACGGUGGUUCCAUCAGCUAGAGGUGUGAAGACGCAGGUUCAGAGAGAGUCACAAAAAUUGUCAGAGUGCUGGAGAACCUCUGCUAAUAAGACAGAAUGAGAGAAUUGGGAUUCUUCAGCCUGGAAAAGAGAAGGCUCCAGGAACACCCUACAGCACCUUCCAGUAAAUUACAGAAGGCCUCUUAGAAAGAUGGGGACCAGCUAUUUAGCUGGGCCAAUACUGCAAUAGGACAAGAGUUUUCAACCUAAGACAAGAUAUGUUUAGAAUACAAAGAAGAAAUUUACUGUCAGGGUGGUAAGGCACUAGAACAAGUUACCCAGAGAAACUAUGGAUGCCUCAUCCCUAGCAGUGUUCAAGUUUAGAUUGGAAGGGGCUCUGAGCAACCUGAUCUAGUGGAAGAUGCCCAUUGCAGGGAGGUUGGAACUAGAUGAUCUUUAAGGUCCAUUCCAAUACAACCUGCUCUAUGACGUGCUCAUUUUAUCAUCCUUAAGUACCAGCUUUGCCAUGACCUCCAGCUCUGCCCUCCUGAACUCCUUAGUAUCUCACAGGAAAUUGAGUCCCAGAUGUUGCUGCCUUACUUACAAAAUUCUCAUGAUAACAGCUUCUUCUGUAGGUGAGACAGUCUCCAGGGGGAUCCAUUUAAGUGUACUGUGUAUCUUUGGCAAAAUAUAUCCAGUAUCUCUCCCUAUCUCUCCCCAUAGGUAACCUGUAUAUCCUAUGAACCCAUAAAACCAGUAAUAGUCACAAAAUGAUGUUAUAAAAAUCCCUCUGUCCACAUCUUUCCCCAUUUUAUCAUGUAUUUUUCUUGCAAAAAAAGAAAUGAAACAUGAUUUUUUUUCUACUAUAGAGAAUCACAAUGGCAUGGUAGAAUUUGCACCUUGUAUUUAUAACUUUUCAGUAGAGAUAAGGGUAAUGUUUCAAAGAAAUAUUUUAAAACUGCCUAAGCAACUCAUAACAGCUUGGCUGUACAAACCACGUAAAAUGGUCAUGACAAACCGUGUAAAAUGUUAAGAUAAGAUUUUGGGUAACAUGAGCUGCAGAACCUCAGGAUCUUGUUUCUAAGUAACGCAUAAAUCCCAAAUCCAUUAUAAUAGAGCUUUAUGAAUCAUAUUCCUCUCUCUCCACACAUACAUAGAAACAUGUGCAAAUGCCUGCAUACAAAUGUAGAAUAUAUACUGCAUGCUUAUGGCAUGUUAUUUGUCCAAUAAACAAUCCUAGGUCUUACAUUAGCAAACUGUAUGCUCAAUCUAUAUAUCUGGGAGCAUAAAUUUUGCAAUUUCCUCUUUGUCCAAAAAAACAUUGUUGCUAAAAUAUGUGCUGAAUUUUCUUCCUCUCUCAUAUGUCAGUGUGGUACAGCUCCUUCCUUAAACCCAUGGCAGUUUCAGUGAAUUAUUGAUGAACUCAAGCCAUCUGCUGGACACUGCAACAUGACUGUAAUUGGUGUAGAACACUAAGAAAUUGAUCCAAUACUUUUUAAGGGGAAAAGGAAGCAGUAUCUUUACUAACGCAGUUGUCCUAAUAUUUAAUUAAAGACUUUGAACACAAAUAGAAUGUCAGAUGAAAUGCAGAACAAAAGGGGAUUUCUGGUCACAAAAGUGUAACUUCCAUGUAAAAUUGAGCAGUAAGGAGAAUGACACAAGAUAAAAAAUAAAAAAGAAUACGGAUUACGAACUCAAUUAAUUGUUUUAAUUUUUUGCUGUCUUCCAACAUGGAGAGUUUUUGCUAUUUCUCUUGAUAAACUCAGGCAGAUGGUAUUUUCCUUUUAAGACUCUGGCCCACUUUAAUGACACACAGAAAAUAAUAUUGAGCAGAAAAGAUGAAGUAUGGAAUUAAAAUUUCAGUGUAAUGACUAAACAUCAUUAUUCCUAUGGUGUUUAUGAAAUACAGAUGACCUAAAGGAUC